AACAGGUUUGUAACAGGUUGAGUAACAGUGUUGUAUUAGUUGAGUAACAGGGUUAUUACAGGGUUGUAUCAGAGUUGUAACAGGUUGAGUAACAUGUUUGUUGUUGUAACAUGGUUGUGUCUGGGUUGUAACAGGUUUGUUACAGGUUGAGUAAGGGCUGUUUUGAUGUUGUAACAGGUUUGUAACAGGGUUGUGUCUGAGUUGCAAUGAAGUUGUAACAGGUUUGUAACAGGGUUGAGUAAGGGUUGUUUUGAGGUUGUGAUGGAGUUGUAACAGGUUUGUAACAGGUUGAGUAACAGUGUUGUAUUAGUUGAGUAACAGGGCUAUUAGAGGGUUGUAUCAGA
This is a long non-coding RNA of Astyanax mexicanus (Mexican tetra), 344 nucleotides long. RefSeq lists it as uncharacterized. The record is from RefSeq and is a predicted model, not a curated record. The transcript has 4 exons. NCBI's taxonomy places the organism in Eukaryota, Metazoa, Chordata, Actinopteri, Characiformes, Acestrorhamphidae.